RNAcentral lists this ribosomal RNA (447 nucleotides) under uncultured bacterium. RNAcentral's name for it is "bacterial SSU rRNA". It matches the Rfam family "Bacterial small subunit ribosomal RNA", at positions 335 to 799 of the family's 1533-position model. The record is from RNAcentral.
ACUCCUACGGGAGGCAGCAGUGGGGAAUAUUGGACAAUGGGCGAAAGCCUGAUCCAGCCAUGCCGCGUGGGUGAAGAAGGCCCUAGGGUUGUAAACCCCUUUCAGUCGGGAAGGAUAAUGACGGUNCCCGCAGAAGAAGCCCCGGCUAACUCCGUGCCAGCAGCCGCGGUAAUACGGAGGGGCUAGCGUUGUUCGGAAUUACUGGGCGUAAAGCGCGCGUAGGCGGACUUUCAAGUCAGGGGUGAAAUCCCGAGGCUCAACCUCGGAACUGCCUUUGAUACUGUAAGUCUUGAGUCCGAGAGAGGUGAGUGGAAUUCCUAGUGUAGAGGUGAAAUUCGUAGAUAUUAGGAAGAACACCAGUGGCGAAGGCGGCUCACUGGCUCGGUACUGACGCUGAGGCGCGAAAGCGUGGGGAGCAAACAGGAUUAGAUACCCUGGUAGGCGUAG